This 451-nucleotide ribosomal RNA is filed under the name uncultured bacterium. RNAcentral's name for it is "bacterial SSU rRNA". It matches the Rfam family "Bacterial small subunit ribosomal RNA", at positions 341 to 784 of the family's 1533-position model. The record is from RNAcentral.
UAGGAAGGCAGCAGUGGGGAAUAUUGCACAAUGGGCGCAAGCCUGAUGCAGCCAUGCCGCGUGUAUGAAGAAGGCCUUCGGGUUGUAAAGUACUUUCAGCGGGGAAGGAAGGGAGUAAAGUUAAUACCUUUGCUCAUUGACGUUACCCGCAGAAGAAGCACCGGCUAACUCCGUGCCAGCAGCCGCGGUAAUACGGAGGGUGCAAGCGUUAAUCGGAAUUACUGGGCGUAAAGCGCACGCAGGCGGUUUGUUAAGUCAGAUGUGAAAUCCCCGGGCUCAACCUGGGAACUGCAUCUGAUACUGGCAAGCUUGAGUCUCGUAGAGGGGGUAGAAUUCCAGGUGUAGCGGUGAAAUGCGUAGAGAUCUGGAGGAAUACCGGUGGCGAAGGCGGCCCCUGGGACGAAGACUGACGCUCAGGUGCGAAAGCUGGGGAGCAAACAGGAUUAGGAUA